RNAcentral lists this transfer RNA (73 nucleotides) under Methanimicrococcus blatticola. It matches the Rfam family "tRNA". From Rfam's summary of the family: Transfer RNA (tRNA) molecules are approximately 80 nucleotides in length. Their secondary structure includes four short double-helical elements and three loops (D, anti-codon, and T loops). Lineage: Archaea; Methanobacteriati; Methanobacteriota; Methanomicrobia; Methanosarcinales; Methanosarcinaceae. RNAcentral also lists the same sequence under 1 other name. The record is from Rfam by way of RNAcentral.
GGGCGCGUGGCCUAGCGGAUAUGGCAGCAGCCUCCUAAGCUGCAGGUCGGGGGUUCGAAUCCUCCCGCGCUCG